This 183-nucleotide ribosomal RNA is filed under the name Triticum aestivum (bread wheat). RNAcentral describes it as "partial small subunit ribosomal RNA". Lineage: Eukaryota; Viridiplantae; Streptophyta; Magnoliopsida; Poales; Poaceae. The record is from RNAcentral.
AUGGCGAGCUUACGCGUGGUGAUCAUCCUGGUGUUGCUGCUCUUGUGCGCCUGCGCUCUGUUGGCGGAGUGCUCCAGGCCGUUGCGCGAUCAUGCCCACGGAGGGGGCGGCUUGUCGACGGCCAACUUGCCGGUGUUUGUCGUCGCGAGGGCGGGGCCAAGCAGGCGAGGCGCCGGUCACUAG